AGAGUUUGAUCCUGGCUCAGGACGAACGCUGGCGGCGUGCCUAAUACAUGCAAGUAGAACGCUGAAGAGAGGAGCUUGCUCUUCUUGGAUGAGUUGCGAACGGGUGAGUAACGCGUAGGUAACCUGCCUUGUAGCGGGGGAUAACUAUUGGAAACGAUAGCUAAUACCGCAUAACAAUGGAUGACACAUGUCAUUUAUUUGAAAGGGGCAAUUGCUCCACUACAAGAUGGACCUGCGUUGUAUUAGCUAGUAGGUGAGGUAAUGGCUCACCUAGGCGACGAUACAUAGCCGACCUGAGAGGGUGAUCGGCCACACUGGGACUGAGACACGGCCCAGACUCCUACGGGAGGCAGCAGUAGGGAAUCUUCGGCAAUGGGGGCAACCCUGACCGAGCAACGCCGCGUGAGUGAAGAAGGUUUUCGGAUCGUAAAGCUCUGUUGUAAGUCAAGAACGGGUGUGAGAGUGGAAAGUUCACACUGUGACGGUAGCUUACCAGAAAGGGACGGCUAACUACGUGCCAGCAGCCGCGGUAAUACGUAGGUCCCGAGCGUUGUCCGGAUUUAUUGGGCGUAAAGCGAGCGCAGGCGGUUUGAUAAGUCUGAAGUUAAAGGCUGUGGCUCAACCAUAGUUCGCUUUGGAAACUGUCAAACUUGAGUGCAGAAGGGGAGAGUGGAAUUCCAUGUGUAGCGGUGAAAUGCGUAGAUAUAUGGAGGAACACCGGUGGCGAAAGCGGCUCUCUGGUCUGUAACUGACGCUGAGGCUCGAAAGCGUGGGGAGCGAACAGGAUUAGAUACCCUGGUAGUCCACGCCGUAAACGAUGAGUGCUAGGUGUUGGAUCCUUUCCGGGAUUCAGUGCCGCAGCUAACGCAUUAAGCACUC
RNAcentral lists this ribosomal RNA (879 nucleotides) under human gut metagenome. Its description in RNAcentral is "bacterial SSU rRNA". It matches the Rfam family "Bacterial small subunit ribosomal RNA", at positions 8 to 869 of the family's 1533-position model. The record is from RNAcentral.